Molecule: long non-coding RNA, 98 nt
Organism: Oxyura jamaicensis (ruddy duck)
Lineage: Eukaryota; Metazoa; Chordata; Aves; Anseriformes; Anatidae
Exons: 3
Source: RefSeq, a predicted model, not a curated record
GACCGAAGGACAAAGCCUGGGAGGAAGACUACAAGCCUUCAGCACGAGCGAUCCCCAGAGACCCCCAGAGACUGAUGCGCAUGCCCCAGUAGGAGGGA